UCUUGCUCCACCCCACAACUUGCAUCAAAAAGAUACGACAGAGAGGGGGACUAUGGUAAAAAUCAAUUUGUUUCACAGAGAUAUUGCGAAGGACUUCUUCUUAUAUUAUCGACCUAGCAAAUAUUCACUGCUGAUCAAAAUAAUAAGGGCAGGAUAUAGGAACACAAAGAAAACAAUGGUUCCAGACAAGGACAAGCAUUUUAUUAUGUGUGUGGAGACCAGCACCUGUUAAACAAUUCUUUGCCUCAAGAGUUACUGUUCACAACUAUGACCUCCACCUGGAAGUAUGUAACAUGUGAUGUGACCAUGAUUGUCACUUGCCCACCAACAUCCCAACAGUUUGGUCAAAAUGUUUGUCCUCUCUAACAAGGCAGUGUUAAACAGGUCAAGAGAUGAUGUUUGCAGAGUUAGUAAAAGCCAACAGUUCUUAUACACUAUGAUGAUGAACCAAACAUAUUUUCCAUCAUCUAUGCAGUUUUAUUAUGCUCAACAUAUUCCAUAAAUAAUUUUUGAACAACUGUUUUUAAUUAAGAAUCAAUAAACUGAUGAACAAUGUUGCCUACAAAUAUGAUGCUAAUUUAUAAGGGGGCAGAGUUAAAGUAGCUAAGUCUCUAACUCAAUAUCAUCCAAAGUAUUCGACAUUGAAAACACGAAUUAUUUGUCAAUUUAAAUCAACAUUGAUGUUGUGAUCUUACAGGGAAAAGAUGGGCUUCUGAUAUCCAAUAUUUAAGACAAACAUUUUACCAUUGAUACACGAAUCUUAACCAUAAUGUAUUUCAGUGCCAUUUGUAACAAGGGAAUCAAAGAAUGAGGCUAGACAUAUUUCAUGAUCAUGUCAAACGGUGAAGUCAUAUUCUUAUCUGGAGAGCAUUUGCAAUAAAUACUAUCGGUGUAGACUUGAAUAACCAGACGCUAGAGAUUGCCAUUCAAUUUGAAAUUAAGAGUAAAAAUGGAAACAAUUAAAUGUAAAUCAGUUUAUAUACAUUCAUAUUACAUUAUUAUAUGCGUCGCGACCCAUUUGUGUCAAUUUCAAGGUCCCAAAUAUUAGCGACUUAGCUCCUUUAAGACUAACUUUGGGUCUUGGACUUUUGGCUAUAAUCAAUACCAUUUAUUGCUAACCAAAUCUGUUGAUUCCAGGUAUAACAUUUUUACGACCACACAGAUCUACCAUAGAACAUACAAUCAUAAUGUUAAGUUGGUUUUCCCCAGAGUUCACUGA
Long non-coding RNA from Patella vulgata (common limpet), 1219 nucleotides. RefSeq lists it as uncharacterized. The record is from RefSeq and is a predicted model, not a curated record. The transcript has 3 exons. NCBI's taxonomy places the organism in Eukaryota, Metazoa, Mollusca, Gastropoda, Patellidae.